UUGUCUACUGCAACUUUGACCUUGUUACUACGGCAAAAAAACCUCCGUCGCCGCUCUGAAUAUCGGCAGCCAUGCCCUCCCCUCAGUGAACAAAAAAAAUCUACAACAGAACUGAAUACCAAUUGUGACGAACUGGCUUCGAUUUGGUGGCCUUUGGGGGAAAUCUGGGUAACAGAGUUCGUUUACAGGAGCAGAUGACUAGAACUAAUUCUAGAGUAUUUCUGUUACAAUGUUUUCUACCUGAACCAAAUGAGCAAAUAGCUUAUAUAGCCUGACCCGCCUGCAACAGCUGUCACCAAUCGAUCACCGCGAACCGCCUCAACAGACAAUCCAUGUCUCAAAUCUGAGAGAAGGCAGAGGAUGAGCACUACCUGACAUGGAUCCGCCACG
This 390-nucleotide long non-coding RNA is filed under the name Sorghum bicolor (sorghum). RNAcentral describes it as "long non-coding RNA (SBIC_LNC005931)". Lineage: Eukaryota; Viridiplantae; Streptophyta; Magnoliopsida; Poales; Poaceae. The record is from RNAcentral.